Molecule: long non-coding RNA, 1117 nt
Filed under: Mus spicilegus (steppe mouse)
Lineage: Eukaryota; Metazoa; Chordata; Mammalia; Rodentia; Muridae
Description: lncRNA (ENSMSIG00000013678.1)
Source: RNAcentral
UAGCUGCUGAGGAAUGCUGGGAGAACCUGGUGGCCUGUGUUUGCUUUGAUAUGUUAAUAGGUACUUCAGACAUUUGUGACAGUUUUGAGUUUGUGACAGUUUUGAGACUUGGACACUACCCGCGUUCCUUCCUUCCUUCCUUCCUUCCUUCCUUCCUUCCUUCCUUCCUUCCUUCCNNNNNNNNNNCUCUUCCUUCUUCCUCUACCCCCUCCCUCGCCCCUUUCUACUUUUCUUUAGGGUUCCUUUCUUUCUUCCCUCUUUGAUCUGUCCUUUCCGUCCCUCCUCCACUUUUCUCUGGGUUCCAGGGAUUGAGCACUGACCCUGAGCAUGAUCAAACUGUAUCUGGAAGGGCGUUGUCUGUGCUUGCUUGGCUGUGUCUCUGCUGCCCCUGAGCUCAUGAAAUAUAAAGGACCUCCUGAGGGAAUGUCUGUUCCUCACGCCAGUGCAAGGCAAGCAGGAAAGCCCUGUGCAAAACUAUGAAGCAGAGGAAGUCAGAGUUUGAGAAAACACCUCAAGCUUCUCCUUACACUUUGGUAUGACUGUAAAAUACAGCGUUCUCUCCACAAGGGAAGCUCCCUCGCCUCUUUAAGGACACUCAUGAGUGCCUUACACCUGCUCCCCUCUAUAAUUCAUCACUUGCAGGUUAGUAUCCACGAGCGUGUUGAUCAAGUUCUCUUUUUGUAUCAUUUCUUGAUUUGUAACUUUAAUAUUUUUAUUUCACUUUUUGUUAUUUGUAUUCAAUAUCUCAUGUUUUUUAGAAACCAUUGCUUUUAUGAAAAUUUGGGAGGUGGAACCUUUGAACUCUGCUCUUGUGGGCAGGAUAGUGAUACUAUAGACAUUGCUGCUGGGAGAGGAUUCUUUCUCCUGCCCUUUGCUCCCUACCAUUGGAUAAAAUUAAAUUGGAGAAUUGAACACAAGGGUGAGAUAAGUUUGGAACAGUAUGUAUCAUAUGCUGGAGAUGUGCACUCAUUUUGAGAACAUGCCAAAUAUACAAAAUAGAAUGGACAUCAUAAAGGAUGGAUGGAUAUUACUUAACUGAAAAUAGAAUUCUGGAAGAACACACAUGGAACCAUUGAUUACUGAAAACGCAAUGUCCUGGUAUGGGAAAGAAGACAGC